ACGAAUUAGUUAAAAGAAGAAGUUAUGAAGAAUGGGUGUGUGGAAGACAAGAAAUUGUUAAUACGUAAAGUGACAAUAUUAUAGACGAAAAGGACUAACCUAACAAAUGUGAUGUUACGUUAAUGUUGCAAGUUAACCAAGAAUUGUGUUAUCAUUAUUUACACACUGAGACUGUAACGUACGGACGUGCCGACAUACAAACAGUUUUGAACGAACAUGUAAAAAAAUAUGGAAAAACAAAUAUAUUCAUGGUUAAUCAUUAUCUACCUCUACAUAACAAAGUCGUCAGUGGCAGACCAGUGCACAAUCCGAGAUGAUGGCCAUUGUUUCUACACCGUGAAUUGCGAUGAUCCUGCCAGAAUCAGUAUCAACCGCCCUUGUGAUACCGAUCCUUAUAUCACGCUCAUCAUCAAUAAGUCUCCAAUUCACAACGUUACAGCAAAUGUUUUUAACACUAGCUUCGAUAAAUAUGUUCAAAUUCUCUCCACUGAGGACAAUAACUGGAAUAACGUUCAAGAUUUUGCUUUCAGCAACUUCAAAAAUGUUAUGUAUAUCGACUUGUCUGAAAGUCACAUUAAAAGUAUAGGGAGAGCCUUUAUUGGAUUAGGACAGCUCGACUCCCUAAACUUGUCGCGCAAUGACCUUGAAAUAAUAGACCCUGGAGUUUUUAAGUUUAGCGAAGAUAGAAGCAGAUUAUAUUUGUUGGAUUUAUCUUACAAUCUACUGACAUACUUACAAGAAGACUUUUUUGAAAAUCUGUAUAAUCUCCGAAAGUUAUAUUUGCAAGGGAACAAGCUGACAUUUUUGGGAGAUCAACAUUUUAAGCACUUGAAAAAUUUGGACUAUUUAAAUUUAUGUUGUAGCAACUUAAGUACAUUAGAUAUAAGUUUAAAAUCGUUAACUACUUUGACAGAAAUCGAUUUGUCGAAUAAUAAUUUAGAAAAGGUUGAUUUGUUUGAUCUUAAAUCUUUAGAAGCCAUUGAUUUAUCACAUAAUAAUAUCGAAGAAGUCGUGUUU
This is a long non-coding RNA of Helicoverpa zea (corn earworm), 1017 nucleotides long. RefSeq lists it as uncharacterized. Lineage: Eukaryota; Metazoa; Arthropoda; Insecta; Lepidoptera; Noctuidae. The transcript is spliced from 2 exons. The record is from RefSeq and is a predicted model, not a curated record.